This 599-nucleotide long non-coding RNA is filed under the name Homo sapiens (human). RNAcentral's name for it is "novel transcript". The record is from RNAcentral. Lineage: Eukaryota; Metazoa; Chordata; Mammalia; Primates; Hominidae.
UUACCCCCAACCCCGUGCUCUCUGAGACAUGUGCUGUGUCAACUCAGGGUUAAAUGAAUUAAGGGCUGUGCAAGAUGUGCUUUGUUAAACAGAUGCUUGAAGGCAGCAUGCUCCUUAAGAGUCAUCACCACUCCCUAAUCUCAAGUGCCCAGGGACACAACCACUGUGGAAGGCCGCAGGGACCUCUGCCUAGGAAAGCCAGAGACCUUUGUUCACGUGUUUAUCUGCUGACCUUCUCUCCACUAUUAUCCCAUGACCCUGCCACAUCCCCCUCUCCGAGAAACACCCAAGAAUGAUCAAUAAAUACAAAGGGAACUCAGAGGCCGGCAGCAUCCUCCAUAUGCUGAAUGCAGGCCCAUAAGAUGUCCCGGCCUUUCCUUGAACCAGUAGACCCUAAUGAUGCACCAGAUUAUUAUGGUGUUAUUAAGGAACCUAUGGAUUGACCUUUGUAAAGAAGAAAAACAUGUUAGAAGAAAAAUGGAAAAGAACUCUGCAUGCCCUCAGCUCAGAUGCCAUCUCCUCUGGGAGCUCCUCUGGCCCCUGCCAAGGCUGGAUCAGAUGCCCUCAGGGCACACACGAUGCUGAUCCAGGGCCAUCUG